UCAGGCCACAGAGCUGAGUGCAGGUUUGUGCUGCUGUGUGAGUUUUGUGUCUCUCUUCCUCCACUAGGGUGUGACAGGCAGGUGCAACUACACAGCUGCACCGCAUCAGGAGCAAUCACUGAAGAGCUUCAUAAGCACUCUGGAGAUGUCUGUUUACUCUGCUGAGUGAUUGCUGAUUGCUGAAUCCUACUGCAUGGCCCUGGCCCUUCCGUGUUGGCAACAGCAGAAUCUGCUUCCUGGAAAACCCACCGUGGUUCAGUCUCCUACUGGUCAGUAACUCCUUCAAUAAGGUUAUCUCAGCUUAAGAGUCGCUCAGAAGGAUCUGGAUCUGCCUGCAAGCUUGCUCCUUGCAUCACCUGCCUGUCCACCCUCCAAUGUCAAUGACUACCAAAGGAAGUCGUACCGCACCAUCACCUGCCAACCUCAGCCUCCGUGGCUUACCCGCUCCUUCUUGGAACCUACAAACUCUUCCACACAUAAGACCAAUAUUCACACCAUCCGGAUUCGCAAUGAUCUUCCUGACACUGACGGAUCUCUCUCUCUCUCAUAGUGAGCCAAUCCCUGCAGCCUUACGAUUACGGAAUCCUGACAGUGCCACAAAACAUCAUUUCAAUAAACCUGUUUAAACCUUU
Girardinichthys multiradiatus is the source of this 632-nucleotide long non-coding RNA. RefSeq lists it as uncharacterized. The record is from RefSeq and is a predicted model, not a curated record. The transcript has 2 exons. Lineage: Eukaryota; Metazoa; Chordata; Actinopteri; Cyprinodontiformes; Goodeidae.